AUAGAACAAACUGGAAGCAUGGGGAUGGUGGCUCUAUGAGGCUGCUCUGGGGAGCUACUAGGUCUCCUUGAAAGAUUUAAAUCCCAACAGAAGGUAAAGAUCAAGAAAUAUUUGACAAGACCACUAUUAAUUACCAUGCAGACACCAUAUACAUAAAUAUCAAGUUGUAAGUGAAAAGUCCAGGGGUAUAUGGACUUCAGGAAUGGCUGGAUCCAGAAGUCCCCUUUUCUCAGUGUCUCUGCUCUGUCUUCAGGCCCUUACAAGACGGCUGUAGAGACGGGGUCUCGCUCUGUCACCCAGGCUGGAGUGCAGUGGUGCCAUCAUAGCUCACUGUAGCCUCGAACUCCUGGGCUCAAGGGAUCCUCUCCCCUCAGCUUCCUGAGUAGCUGGGACCACAGGCUCACACCACUAUACCCAGAGUCACAAAGGAGACCUCAGAGCCAGGAAGUGAGAGCUAAUAAGGACCUCAAACAUCCAUUUUACAAAUGAGGCUGCUCCCCUUCUUAGCCCUGCGGCCUGGAGAAAGUGGUUUCACCUCCCUGAGCCUCAGUCUUCCCAUCUGUACAAUGGGUACAACAUCACCUCCCUAAAAGGCAAACCCAGGGUGGGGACCACAUUGCAAGGAACUGUGGCCAGCCUCUUGAAGCUGAGAGCAGAAUCCAGCCAACGGCAAGAAGCCAGGCACCUCAGUCCUGCAGCCACAAGGAAAUGAAUCCUGCUAGCAACCCAAGAAGGCUUAGAAAUGGAUCCUUCCCCAGUUGAGCCUCUGAUGAGACCAUAGUCCUGGUUGACACCAAAACUGUAACCUUGUAAGAAACCCUAAUGCAGGGGCCCCAGCUAAGCCAUGCUCGGAUUCCCAAUCCGUGGGAACUGUAAGAUAAUAAAUGUGUUGCUUGAA
Pongo pygmaeus (Bornean orangutan) is the source of this 898-nucleotide long non-coding RNA. RefSeq lists it as uncharacterized. The transcript has 5 exons. The record is from RefSeq and is a predicted model, not a curated record. NCBI's taxonomy places the organism in Eukaryota, Metazoa, Chordata, Mammalia, Primates, Hominidae.